AUGCGGUCCAGAUAGCCAUGCAUGUCUCAGUAUAAGCUUCUAUACGGCGAAACUGCGAAUGGCUCAUUAAAACAGUUAUAGUUUAUUUGGUGGUCAGCAAUUACAUGGAUAACCGUGGUAAUUCUAGAGCUAAUACAUGCGCCCAAACCCGACUUCGUGGAAGGGUUGUGUUUAUUAGAUACAGAACCAACCCAGGCUCCGCCUGGCCUUGAGGUGAUUCAUAAUAACCGAACGAAUCGCAUGGCUAUGCCGGCGAUAGACCAUUCAAGUUUCUGACCUAUCAGCUAUCGUCGGUAGGGUAUUGGCCUACCGUGGCAAUGACGGGUAACGGAGAAUUAGGGUUCGAUUCCGGAGAGGGAGCCUGAGAAACGGCUACCACAUCUAAGGAAGGCAGCAGGCGCGCAAAUUACCCAAUCCUGACGCAGGGAGGUAGUGACAAGAAAUAACAAUACAGGGCAUACAUGUCUUGUAAUUGGAAUGAGUAAACUUUAAAUCACUUU
This 500-nucleotide ribosomal RNA is filed under the name uncultured eukaryote. RNAcentral describes it as "SSU rRNA". It matches the Rfam family "Eukaryotic small subunit ribosomal RNA", at positions 34 to 536 of the family's 1831-position model. The record is from RNAcentral.